AAAAUUUUGGGAGCGACGCAUUAGCAGCAAAUGUGCGUGAGAUUGGUAUGUUAUCUAUGUUUGGUGUCCAUGCAAAUAUCGGGGGGAGGGGGGAUUCCUUGAAUUUUUCUAUUGUUAAAGUAGAAGCAUAGUUAUCCGUUGAGGCGAACCUUCUAUUUUUGUUCUGAUGAAGUGUAUUUUUCAGUCACUGGAGGAGCUGAUGGUGCUACACUGGUUCGUGACAGACUAUGUGGAGCAUAUAUCUCACUGCUUUGGAGUUGAGCUGUGCAUUAUCAUGAUGGAGAUCUACGCGCAGCUCAUCAUCCGUAUGUUCGUCACCUCCUACGUCCUCUUUCUUCACGGACUCUUCCCUCUCUCCCUAGAUCAUCAACUCGUUGGUGUCUUCGACCUACUCUCGGUCACCUCCAAUCUCAGCUAUCUAUGCUACAGAUGUGAUCGUGUUGUAUAUAAGGGCUCUCAAAGUCAAUUGUUCCUACAGGAUAUCUGUAUCCAGAAUAAUCUAGACAAAUACUCAAAGAAGUGGUAAGCAAGUUGUUUGUGCAGAGUCAUAAUUCGUUACAGUAAGUUCCAUCAGCUUCGGGGCAAAUGAAGCGUAUGAAUUAGGGCAUGAAUCAUCUUCGGAAAAUUGCUCCUUUCGUAUUUUAUAAGAGCACAAAAAGGAGGAAUAUAUGGAUGAUGAUUAUGAUGACCGACAUUUCACGGACCGUAAAUCACAGUCAUCAAUCAUCAUUAGCCUUGGAGUUGAGUUUUAACUAAUACCUUUUACGAUAUUGAACCACGUGAAUAAAGUAGAAAGGUAUCUAAUAGAUCAUAUAGGGGGCGAAACAUGGAAUUAAUCGCUUAUUUUCGGUUGCAGUCUAUCAAAAGUUCCGCCCUGUUAUUGUUUUCAUGAGGUAAAAAAGCUAAUUUUUGUACCCACUUAAGUAAGAUCAGAGAUAAUUCAUCAUUUACUGCGCGAACUAUCGCAGCCGAUUUCAACAAACCUAUACGGAAACCCAUUUCAAAUAUGUUUUUUGAAUUUUGUCUUGAAUCAUCGAAAGAUUUUUAAUUAAAAAUUCAUGGAAAUCUCAAUAUAAGAUGCUAUGAUGCAUGGUAAGAUACUUUUGUCGACUCAGAUCAUAGAGCAGAUGAAUUUGAUAGAAAAUCAGCAGCUGGCAUUCUAAUCGGAUUGAAUUGCUUACCAUUUCCAUGGAAAUAUCAGAGGCAAAAAGUAGUUUCAAUAGCAGACGAUCGUCUUAUGCUGAUUUUUAUGCUCUGUCAAAGUGGGUUCCUAAAAUUUUCCCAUUAAUGACCUUCUGUCAGAGUUAAAAAUGAACUUUGAUUCACCAAUCCCUGCUAAUGAGGACAGCAAGUGUGCCAUUGAACUACAAAAUGACACACGUUCUCAUAAAAACUCAAACCAUGCGAAUAUCAGAUAUCACUAUAUAUGUGAAUGAUUAUUUAUCCAAAAAAUUCAUCAGAAUUAUAAAAUUUUCUAACAAUGAUCCUCGCAUUCUAAACUAAGAAUGAAUUGCAGAUGCAUUUACCAAAUCCCUUGGAAAAGUUCUACCAAUUUGAAAGAUUUUGACCCAUGAUAAGCAUGUAUUAAUUCUAGAAUUUUUGUCCAAAUCAUUUUCAUAAACAAUACUCUAGAAUCAAGAAAACCUGCUUGAAGUAACAUCGUUCCGCAUAUUCUGUAGUGAAUUAAUUCUGCAAAGAGACGUUUUUAAGAAAUGCAACGAAACUCUUACUUUGCAAAAGAAGAGAAAAGUUGAAGUACCCACUGCAGUUUUUUCUCUCCUUAAUUGUAUGUAACUGAGAGAGUUUGAUUUUGUUUUAACUUUAUUUCUUCACAUAUAAUGCGGAGCACCGAAUGAUUUUUUCUCGAGUUUUACUAUUCGCACAUCAAUAUUCUACAAAUAAAUUUUUAGGCGGAUUAAAAUUUCUCAACUAAAUGGACUGAUUCCGUACUAUAAAGUUUCUUCCAGUAUUUUAAAAGGUCGUUGUGAUAUUUUCUAGGUUUCAUUAUGAAUGUACCUAUACGUCUACAUAUUUAUCCCUCUGAUAAAAAAUUUAGGAGUCAUAGGUAUUAAUAAGUAAAGAGCACACGCGUGAUUUCACGAUACACUGGAAAAAAAAAUCCUAAAUUUAAGAAUAUAUGUUUCCUUAAAAAGUUUCCUGAUUCCAAUACGGCGUUAGUUCAGAAAAAGCCUACAGUUAGCUUAUUGGUCCAAGAUAACAAAAUUGUGUUGAAUUGAGGAAACUACGUUUUCUUGAACCAAGUAUACGUUUUCUCGAAACAGACUAUAACGGAUACUCGAAACAAGAAAACUGUUUCUUUAAAUUAGGAAACGAGGGAACGCCUUCUGCCUUCUGUAUCCAAAAUUUAAGGAACCUACAUUAAAGGGUCUUUGAAUUUAGUCCCUCGCUGAGAGUAAAUCUUUGUAUUUUUUACUUCACACCCCAGACUACACUAUCAAGUAUUUCUGUGCUCACAAAAUUCUGGGUAAUCUGGUAUUUGCGAUACAAAUCACCUACUCUCCAAAAAUGUAACGAUAAUGUCUAUGUCCAGAUUUUUCAGCAAUGUUUUCAACUUCACUAUACCUACUGCCCCUCUGUUUCUCAUUAGAAAAGUAGAUAUACAUGGUGUAACGAAAGUCCGUCCCACCCCUGCUAACUUUGAACGAAUUGAGCUAGGAAAAUGCAACUUUGGAAAUGUUCGUAUCUCAAAAGGGGUUAU
Molecule: long non-coding RNA, 2719 nt
Filed under: Bemisia tabaci
Lineage: Eukaryota; Metazoa; Arthropoda; Insecta; Hemiptera; Aleyrodidae
Description: lncRNA ENSSSA2NGG001757
Source: RNAcentral